GAUAUUAGUAGAAAAUUUAAAUUACAAGAUAUCCAGUCCUAUCAAAAUCUAUGUGAAAAGAUUGGAUUAAUAAUCUUACAGAUGUUGGACUAAGAUUUAGAUUAAUUUAUUAUUCUUGACAUCCAAAUAUAACUCUAGAUUAGUCUAAUUUUUUUAUCCUUCAAAUUAGUCUAAUCCCACCUUUUAUUCAACAUACAAACAUAGUCUUAUGGUUUAAAAUAAAAUUUCUUUUUGAAAUUUAUUUAACUAAAUUUUUUAUGGAAUAAAUUUGGGAGAAUGUUUGUUCUGACUUAUGAAUAGUAAUCAUACCAAAGUUAUAUAAUGUGAUUAGGAUUAAUACUUAAGUGUCCGGAUAAAAAAGAAUGAAAGAUGACAUUUUCCAUAAGUUAAACUCAUAGAUGUGUCCGAAUCUUUAUCAUUGUUUUUUUUCCCACUUUAAAAACCAUUUAGCCACUUUAGGAAAGAAAGCAUCAUUUUAUCUCGACUUUUUGUUUUUGUUUUCUUUUUCACAUUUGUUUGCCGAUUCUUGGACUUUAUAAUCACUUUUCAAGCUCUGGAUUAACCAUGAUUUUGUCACUUUAGUAUUGAUUACAUUGUUUGUUUAUCCCUUGUGCCCAAAUGAUGCUUAAGACUUGGCACGUCUUCAUUAUUAUAAAGAAAGCAUUUUCUUGUUGCUAGAAUUAUCUUUCCUAUGAGCUGGCUGCCCAUUUUUUAUUGGCUUCAUAAGUUUUUUCUCCACUAAACAAUGAAUUAUGAAUCAAUUAUGGCUUAAACCCAGCACAAAACCAGCAUUACUGCCUGAAUUGAGCAUCAUUUUGAGAAAUUAGGUACGCACUAGCCUUGUCUCCCACAAACAUAUUCCAUUUCGUCUCUGAAGAAUGGCUACAGAGAAAUACAACGUAAUGCAUAUUUCUUCUCACCAAUCACGUAAAAAGCAUCGACUCUGAAUUCUUCAUCUUGCAGUCAAAUCAAUUGGUAGCAGAAGGGACGCUUCAUUUCUUGACAUAUUAGGAAUAAAUUUCUACUAAUUUUGCGCCACUGUACUGAGGCUGAGAAAAAUGCCACUUCAACUGCUAUUUAUUGUACGGGCCUACCGGCUUUAAUUACACUGAGUUUUUUUUGGAUUAAACAUUCCCAUUAAACUUUAGAUUAGAUUUUAUUUUUAUUUUAAUACAAGUUAUUGCUUAUCAAUUUGAUUCUGGAAUAAAUGGUGGGAAUACAAGACUAGCGAGAGAUGUCAAAUGGAAUUUUCUUGAGAAUGCGAAUAAGCCGCCUGCCAAGCUGGAUAUUUCGAGAAUGUUUAUAUAUCGAUAGGGAUGGCAAAAAUCUCCACGGGGAUGGGUACCCUCGGGGAUUUUCCCCAUUCGGGGAGGGUACGGGGAUAAUUUUAUACUCAAUUUUUUUUUCGGGGAGGGGACGGGGAAAAUUUUUUACCCAACUUUUUAUUCGGGGAGGGGACGGGGAUGAGGUGGAAUCCCCAUCCCCUACCCAUUUCCCCAUUUUAAUUUUUAAUUUUAUUUUUAUU
Molecule: long non-coding RNA, 1525 nt
Filed under: Citrus x clementina
Lineage: Eukaryota; Viridiplantae; Streptophyta; Magnoliopsida; Sapindales; Rutaceae
Description: Citrus clementina (C. clementina) long non-coding RNA (CCLE_LNC001316)
Source: RNAcentral